GUUUGAAGCCGGACGUGGGGCGGGCUUGACAUCCGAUGUGGCGGCCUCCUAUUCGCUGUCCACCGCCAUCGUCGUUGACGCUAUGAAGGGGCGGCAACCCGGCCAAACACGAUAUUGGCUGGAAGCAUUCGCAACCUACCGACCUAACGUCGGACACGACCGCCACAACCUCAACGCGUGCCAACAUAAAUGGCGCGAGCUACG
This 204-nucleotide long non-coding RNA is filed under the name Helianthus annuus (common sunflower). RNAcentral describes it as "hypothetical non coding rna". The record is from RNAcentral. Lineage: Eukaryota; Viridiplantae; Streptophyta; Magnoliopsida; Asterales; Asteraceae.